CAGCCGCAAACUCCCUGGCGGUCGGAUGGAACCGAUGUCCUCCCUUCCCUCGGAUAACUGAAAAGAGGUUCUGCAAAAAUCGGCAGCCACAACUCACCCAAACUUCCAUGUCUGGAUCCAUGCCAUGCAGUCCUGGAGGAAGGUCAGACGGCACGAAUUGGCCACCAGAGGCCUCCUCCACCAUUUGGUGUCCUUCAGGCUCCUUCAGAAUGGACAUCGAAGAGUUGGUCCAUCCGAUGAAAGAAAUUUGCAGUGUGG
Sardina pilchardus (European sardine) is the source of this 258-nucleotide long non-coding RNA. RefSeq lists it as uncharacterized. NCBI's taxonomy places the organism in Eukaryota, Metazoa, Chordata, Actinopteri, Clupeiformes, Clupeidae. The transcript has 3 exons. The record is from RefSeq and is a predicted model, not a curated record.